CAAAUCGUCUCCCCGGCGACUUCCAGCGAUGACUGCAAAGAGGCUGCAUUGCUUCGCAUGGCCGACGCCAGGCACACGUCAACGAUUCGCUGGAAUCGUCUCGUAAUGACGACGGCGAAAACGAUGAAUUGGAGAGCGAUUUGAUCCCGAUCUGUCGGACAAAUACGUGCCUUCGGACAUAACGGAAAGCAGCUGAGAGUUCUCGCCAGAGCCGCUGGAACGAGGAGAUUGUCCGACCAGAAGCCAGAAGAUGACAACUCCUUGCUUUGGUGGUGGAAAGAAAGAUCGUGCAUCUGGACGUGGUGGGGUGAAUCGAUGUGGUGACAAACUGGAUGGAAGGCAAAAACCAUCCUCUCCACACCUGCACUUUCGUUCAUUGUUCAAUUUGCACUUUUGUUCAUAGUUCAAUAGUUUUGUUGUGUGCAAAUAAAUUAUUUUGCUACAAAAACAUUAUUUGGGAUGUUCUUUUGUAGGAGGAACACAUUAUUGAGGUAUUUGAGCUGUCACAAAAGCAAAAAAUAGUGUAAAA
Hippocampus zosterae (dwarf seahorse) is the source of this 529-nucleotide long non-coding RNA. RefSeq lists it as uncharacterized. The record is from RefSeq and is a predicted model, not a curated record. The transcript is spliced from 3 exons. NCBI's taxonomy places the organism in Eukaryota, Metazoa, Chordata, Actinopteri, Syngnathiformes, Syngnathidae.